UACGGAGGAUCCAAGCGUUAUCCGGAUUCAUUGGGUUUAAAGGGUGCGUAGGCGGAAUUGUAAGUCAGUGGUGAAAGCCUGCAGCUUGACUGCAGAAUUGCCAUUGAUACUGCAAAUCUUGAGUACAUUUGAUGUGGGCGGAAUGUGCCAUGUAGCGGUGAAAUGCUUAGAUAUGACACAGAACACCGAUUGCGAAGGCAGCUCACAAAACUGUAACUGACGCUGAGGCACGAAAGCGUGGGGAUCGAACAGG
Molecule: ribosomal RNA, 253 nt
Filed under: uncultured bacterium
Lineage: Bacteria
Description: partial 16S ribosomal RNA
Rfam family: Bacterial small subunit ribosomal RNA
Source: RNAcentral